UACGGAGGGUGCAAGCGUUAUCCGGAUUCACUGGGUUUAAAGGGUGCGUAGGUGGGUCUGUAAGUCAGUGGUGAAAUCUCCGAGCUUAACUUGGAAACUGCCGUUGAUACUAUCAAUCUUGAAUAUCGUGGAGGUGAGCGGAAUAUGUCAUGUAGCGGUGAAAUGCUUAGAUAUGACAUAGAACACCAAUUGCGAAGGCAGCUCGCUACACGAAUAUUGACUCUGAGGCACGAAAGCGUGGGGAUCAAACAGG
Molecule: ribosomal RNA, 253 nt
Filed under: uncultured bacterium
Lineage: Bacteria
Description: partial 16S ribosomal RNA
Rfam family: Bacterial small subunit ribosomal RNA
Source: RNAcentral